AGUGAACGCUGGCGGUAGGCCUAACACAUGCAAGUCGAACGGCAGCACAGUAAGAGCUUGCUCUUACGGGUGGCGAGUGGCGGACGGGUGAGGAAUACAUCGGAAUCUACUUUUUCGUGGGGGAUAACGUAGGGAAACUUACGCUAAUACCGCAUACGACCUACGGGUGAAAGCAGGGGAUCUUCGGACCUUGCGCGAUUGAAUGAGCCGAUGUCGGAUUAGCUAGUUGGCGGGGUAAAGGCCCACCAAGGCGACGAUCCGUAGCUGGUCUGAGAGGAUGGUCGGCCACACUGGAACUGAGACACGGUCCAGGCUCCUACGGGAGGCACCAGUGGGGAAUAUUGGACAAUGGGCGCAAGCCUGAUCCAGCCAUACCGCGUGGGUGAAGAAGGCCUUCGGGUUGUAAAGCCCUUUUGUUGGGAAAGAAAAGCAGCAGGUUAAUACCCCGCUGUUCUGACGGUACCCAAAGAAUAAGCACCGGCUAACUUCGUG
This 492-nucleotide ribosomal RNA is filed under the name uncultured bacterium. RNAcentral describes it as "partial 16S ribosomal RNA". It matches the Rfam family "Bacterial small subunit ribosomal RNA", at positions 29 to 507 of the family's 1533-position model. The record is from RNAcentral.